GGUUCAUUCAAAUUUCUGCCCUAUCAACUUUCGAUGGUAAGGUAUUGGCUUACCAUGGUUUCAACGGGUAACGGGGAAUUAGGGUUCGAUUCCGGAGAGGGAGCCUGAGAAACGGCUACCACAUCCAAGGAAGGCAGCAGGCGCGCAAAUUACCCAAUCCCGACCGGGGAGGUAGUGACAAUAAAUACUGAUACAGGGCUCUUUUGGGUCUUGUAAUUGGAAUGAGUACAAUUUAAAUCCCUUAACGAGGAACAAUUGGAGGGCAAGUCUGGUGCCAGCAGCCGCGGUAAUUCCAGCUCCAAUAGCGUAUAUUAAAGUUGUUGCAGUUAAAAAGCUCGUAGUUG
Molecule: ribosomal RNA, 344 nt
Filed under: uncultured fungus
Lineage: Eukaryota; Fungi
Description: SSU rRNA
Rfam family: Eukaryotic small subunit ribosomal RNA
Source: RNAcentral